UGGUACAGUCAAAUUCCGCCGGGUAUUAACCAACAGAACCUUCUUCCCACCUGACAGGGGUUUACAACCCGAAGGCCUUCAUCCCCCACGCGGCGUCGCUGGGUCAGGCUUGCGCCCAUUGCCCAAAAUUCCC
Molecule: ribosomal RNA, 133 nt
Filed under: uncultured bacterium
Lineage: Bacteria
Description: partial 16S ribosomal RNA
Source: RNAcentral